CAGGUUUUCGACUUUCAGAUUACAAAAAGUGAAUGCAGUACAUAGAAAUGAGCUUCAAGAUGACCUAACAAAUCUUUUCAUGUGAGUUUUUUUCACGGGCAUAAGAAGCGUAUUGUUAAAUGUUAGGCUUUUUUUCUGGAAGAAAGACCAUUGCAUGCAUUCGCCUCUCUUACUUACACUUACCUUUCAUCAUUACCACCCCAUCACAACCAAAGUUGAGACUACAUUAGAUUUGAACAGGUAAGCAAUACUCUUUUCGACUUAUGCUUGUUCAUAGGUAGAAGUAAAACCCAAACCUGUGAAUCUUAAGUCCAAAAAAAGUUAUGCAAUAUGUGGAGUUUGGUGACUCACUCCUAAGAGACCAUAAACAUGGAAUCAAGUGAUUAGCAGUUCAAAUCCUGCUCUGGGUGUGUUUUUGCAUGUCUUUACUGUGAAGCUCGAAAUAUCAGAUAUAAAUAAAGAGACGACUGUUUCUGAUCUAAAUAAGCUGCAAGGUGGACUUAUUACAUCGCCUAAGCUCAAGACCUCAUGCGCCAAACACUGACUUCAGCAUGCUGCCUCGUUAAACACACCUGAUUCAGUUCAUCAGCUAAUUAGCAAGGCCUUCAUGAGCUGAAUGCACAGCUUUAGAUGGGGAUGUACACUAAUCUCUACAGCACUUUGGCCUGGACAAGGUUUGCCUGCUUUACAUUAAUGAGAGCAGCUUAUCUGAGUUUUAUGGCUGUCUUCCUGAUACAAAUUUCUCUUUAGUGUGGGAAAGUGUGGAAACCAUAGUCAGGUUGGAGGCAAGUAGCACAUAUCUGUAUUAUUGAGAUUGUCUCUUAUAGUAACUAAAUGAGGUAAACAUUCUAAACCCACUUGUGUUGUGUUCAGAUCAAAAAGACAGUCCUCGCUUCCUUGAGAGUUCCUGGUCUAAUAAACAUCAGUAGAAACAACCUGGGAAUCUCAAAGUCAAAUGUCCAAAAAAAAAGGCCUUUCAUGCAGCAGCCACGGUGGCGUCUUUGAAAAAGCUAUGGCUUUGCACACAGAAGGUCGGCGGUUCAAAUCCUGGUUGCGGUUGCCAGUUGAAGUCACCUUCCACGGAGAUCCUGCAGGGAGCCUGGAGGUGCACUGGCACCGGAGGACGGCCGGAGGGCAGUACCUGAGAAGGGGGGGAAAUAAUCCGGGCUCCCCCCCGGGGCCUCCAGGAAGCAGAAAACAAGGGGUUAUAGAGCAAGACGUGAGAAUUUGACCUUUUCGACUUAGUUCCUAAAUAUACAGCUGUCGUGUAUAAAACCUAUCACCCUCAUUUUGAGCGGCUUCUCGAAGGAAGACCGCUGCUCUUCUUCUGUCACUCUCCCUGCCAUCUCUCUCUUUCUCCUCCUC
Molecule: long non-coding RNA, 1365 nt
Organism: Pygocentrus nattereri (red-bellied piranha)
Lineage: Eukaryota; Metazoa; Chordata; Actinopteri; Characiformes; Serrasalmidae
Source: Ensembl